Molecule: transfer RNA, 97 nt
Filed under: Millerozyma farinosa CBS 7064
Lineage: Eukaryota; Fungi; Ascomycota; Pichiomycetes; Serinales; Debaryomycetaceae
Rfam family: tRNA
About the family: Transfer RNA (tRNA) molecules are approximately 80 nucleotides in length. Their secondary structure includes four short double-helical elements and three loops (D, anti-codon, and T loops).
Source: Rfam by way of RNAcentral
UUCCCUAUGGCCCAAUGGUCAAGGCGUCUGACUACGGUGCGAUCACUAAAAGUGAUUGGAAAUCAGAAGAUUCCAGGUUCGACUCCUGGUGGGGAAG